AACUCUGGUCCCGGGCAGCCAAGACAAAGCGAAAGGCAAGGCAGCAUGAGCCGAUCACCCCUCAAUCCCAGCCAACUCCGAUCAGUGGGCUCCCAGGAUGCCCUGGCCCCCUUGCCUCCACCUGCUCCCCAGAAUCCCUCCACCCACUCUUGGGACCCUUUGUGUGGAUCUCUGCCUUGGGGCCUCAGCUGUCUUCUGGCUCUGCAGCAUGUCUUGGUCAUGGCUUCUCUGCUCUGUGUCUCCCACCUGCUCCUGCUUUGCAGUCUCUCCCCAGGAGGACUCUCUUACUCCCCUUCUCAGCUCCUGGCCUCCAGCUUCUUUUCAUGUGGUAUGUCUACCAUCCUGCAAACUUGGAUGGGCAGCAGGUGAGAGGAACCUCCCUGGAGAGAGGGGCAGAGUCCUGGAGGGUAGGAGAGGUUUGGGGGAGCCUUGCUGGCUGCCACAUAGUCCCAGACCUGCUGGGGCUGCUGUUCCUACAGGCUGCCUCUUGUCCAGGCUCCAUCCUUAGAGUUCCUUAUCCCUGCUCUGGUG
Molecule: long non-coding RNA, 531 nt
Filed under: Homo sapiens (human)
Lineage: Eukaryota; Metazoa; Chordata; Mammalia; Primates; Hominidae
Description: non-protein coding lnc-CNPPD1-1:3
Source: RNAcentral